AGCUCCCAUCCAGGAAGGCGCAGGCGCGUAAAUACCCAUGCCGAUUCGGCGAGGUAGUGACGAGAAAUAACGAUAAGGAGCACCUUGUGUUUUUUAAUCGGAAUGAGUGCAAUCUAAAAACCUCAACGAGGAUCAAUUGGAGGGCAAGCCUGGUGCCAGCAGCCGCGGUAAUUCCAGCUCCAGAAGCGUAUACUAACGUUGUUGCAGUUAAAAAGCUCGUAGUUGAAUUUCUGGUAAGAGCGACCAGGGCUAUCGGUUAAUCUGAUUGUUUCCCAUGUGUUGUUUUGGCCAUCCUGAUCUUCCCUUUUGGGUAGGUCUCAUUUACUGUAAAAAAAUUAGAGUGUUUCAAGCAAAAUGUUAUUUUGGAAUAUAAUAGUAUGGAAUAAUAAGAUAGGACUUUUGUACUAUUUUGUUGGUUUGUAUACAAAAGUAAUGAUUAAUAGGGACAAUUGGGGGUAUUAAGUAUUU
This 468-nucleotide ribosomal RNA is filed under the name uncultured marine stramenopile. RNAcentral's name for it is "bacterial SSU rRNA". It matches the Rfam family "Eukaryotic small subunit ribosomal RNA", at positions 405 to 899 of the family's 1831-position model. The record is from RNAcentral.